This 203-nucleotide unclassified non-coding RNA is filed under the name Hevea brasiliensis (rubber tree). Lineage: Eukaryota; Viridiplantae; Streptophyta; Magnoliopsida; Malpighiales; Euphorbiaceae. The record is from RNAcentral.
GAUUCAUCGUCGAAUCUCAUCACAAGGAAUUUACACUAUUUAACACGGAAUUCAUGCCUAAAUACAGUCAGGUUUUGAGUGAACUUGUCCCUGUUCUUUGAAUCCAAACUUCGCGUGACAUCCGCCAUCAGUUUUUCAAAACAGAGGGAAAGGCGUGGGUGUUGAUCUACUGCCUGCAUUUUGACACAACAAAUGAGCGUUAA